UGGGACGUGGCCGAGUGGCAAGGCAACGGGUUUUGGGCCCGAUAUUCGAAGAUUCGAUCCCUUUCGUCCCAG
RNAcentral lists this transfer RNA (72 nucleotides) under Carpodetus serratus. RNAcentral describes it as "tRNA-Gln". It matches the Rfam family "tRNA". Rfam says of the family: Transfer RNA (tRNA) molecules are approximately 80 nucleotides in length. Their secondary structure includes four short double-helical elements and three loops (D, anti-codon, and T loops). Lineage: Eukaryota; Viridiplantae; Streptophyta; Magnoliopsida; Asterales; Rousseaceae. The record is from RNAcentral. RNAcentral also lists the same sequence under 3 other names.